Molecule: unclassified non-coding RNA, 407 nt
Filed under: Hevea brasiliensis (rubber tree)
Lineage: Eukaryota; Viridiplantae; Streptophyta; Magnoliopsida; Malpighiales; Euphorbiaceae
Source: RNAcentral
GUUGUUGGAAUUCUAUACAAGUAUGGCAAUACCGAUUCUUUCAUCAAUGAUUUAAAUGACGAGUUGGAUCAAUUGGCUAAGGCAGGCAAUGCAAUAGGGGAAGAGGUGCAUGUGGCAGCCGGAGAAGUUGAUAUCAAGUAUCUGAAGCGUCACACGCGUAAAUACUACCAAUAUGUUGGCUCUCUCACCACCCCUCCCUGCACCGAGAACGUCCUUUGGACCAUUUUGGGCAAGGUAAGGUCAGUCACCAAGGCGCAGGUUGCGAUACUGCGAGCACCUCUGAACAAUGACUACAAGAUAAACUCGAGACCCUCACAAGCUUUGAAUGGAAGGAUUAUUGAACUCUACGAUGAGCACCACAAAGCCAAGUCUCAGUCCCUGUGAUGUCUCUGUUGUUAUGGAGAAAC